GAGGUUGUGGCUCAGCGGUAGAGCGUUCGCUUAGCACAUGCAAAGCGCUGGGUUCAAUCCUCAGCACCACA
RNAcentral lists this transfer RNA (71 nucleotides) under Marmota monax (woodchuck). RNAcentral's name for it is "tRNA.Ala". Lineage: Eukaryota; Metazoa; Chordata; Mammalia; Rodentia; Sciuridae. The record is from RNAcentral.